CAGGUGCCUGAUGAGGGCAGCCAUUUUAGAGGCAAGGGCUGCCUAUAUAAACAGUGCAGUUUGGCUGUAGGAAGCCAGGCAGUAAUAUUGCCUGGCUGGAAGGCUGCUGAGAAUGACCCGGAGAUAAGGGGGAGCUGCAAGGGGAUGAAAAGAAGAACUGUGUGUUACAUAUACGUGUCCUCCUGCAUAGUGUACAUUCUGAUACAGUAAAUUCAGCCAAUUUUCUGGUAUUAUUCUCAAGCUCUGUGCCAUGGAUAUUAGAGACUUCCAUAUGGGCAUGUUCACGGAACGUGUGCUUUGCUUUGGCUCCUGAAGCUUUGGAAAAGGUGACACAGGAAUUCAUUGUAAGCAUCUGUGAUUCACUCCAAAGUAAUAAAAAUGACAUCUCAAAUCAACAAAUAAAAUGAUUGGGAUUUCACCCUAUUUUGCUAUGUAAUUGCAUUUACUAAGGGGAAAAAGUAUCUAGAACACUUUGUAACUUUUUUCUAGACACGUUUAUAGCUAUAUCCACUAGUGGAACUAAACAUCUCCCUUCCUUUUACAUAACACAAACUCUUGCAAAUAUUUAAUGUUUUAUGAGCUUAUGAUUAACUGCUGAAGAACUAAGUUUUCUAAUAAAAUAUGGGAAAAAUACUAGGUAAAUACUGUUUUCAUCACAAAUCAUCCCUUUCUUUGGCACUUGAUUACAGUAUUUAAGAUCAUGGAAUGUCAAACGUUACGUAUUUAAGCUGAUGAAGCUACCUAUUUUUUAGAAAACUAUAAACAUUUUGUUACUUUCUUCAUCCUACUAGCCUGUACUUCAGAAGGAAGAGCUUGAUUUUAUUUAUUUUUCGUAACUUGGUAUAUACAUAUAUUGGGGUUCCUUAUUUGGAAAAUGUUUACAUUACCCAUGAUUUAUAGAUGUUACAUAACAUUCUUUAAAAUCACUUUGAGAAUAAAGCAGUUCAGGUU
Alligator mississippiensis (American alligator) is the source of this 951-nucleotide long non-coding RNA. RefSeq lists it as uncharacterized. NCBI's taxonomy places the organism in Eukaryota, Metazoa, Chordata, Crocodylia, Alligatoridae. The record is from RefSeq and is a predicted model, not a curated record. The transcript is spliced from 3 exons.